GCGGUGGUGCAGUGGUUAGCAUACGCUCACGAAAGGGUGAGAUCUGGGUUCGAAUCUCGGCUGACGCA
Non-coding RNA from Parelaphostrongylus tenuis, 68 nucleotides. The record is from the annotation of a GenBank genome assembly. Lineage: Eukaryota; Metazoa; Nematoda; Chromadorea; Rhabditida; Metastrongylidae.